Molecule: ribosomal RNA, 402 nt
Filed under: uncultured bacterium
Lineage: Bacteria
Description: bacterial SSU rRNA
Rfam family: Bacterial small subunit ribosomal RNA
Source: RNAcentral
UCGGGAAUUUUGGGCAAUGGGCGAAAGCCUGACCCAGCAACGCCGCGUGAGGGAUGAAGUAUUUCGGUAUGUAAACCUCGAAAGAAUGGGAAGAAUAAAUGACGGUACCAUUUAUAAGCUCCGGCUAACUACGUGCCAGCAGCCGCGGUAAUACGUAGGGAGCAAGCGUUGUUCGGAUUUACUGGGCGUAAAGGGCGCGUAGGCGGCGCGGUAAGUCACUUGUGAAAUCUCUGAGCUUAACUCAGAACGGCCAAGUGAUACUGCUGUGCUAGAGUGCGGAAGAGGCAACCGGAAUUCUUGGUGUAGCGGUGAAAUGCGUAGAUAUCAAGAGGAACCCCUGAGGCGAAGGCGGGUUGCUGGGCCGACACUGACGCUGAUGCGCGAAAGCCAGGGGAGCAAACG